CUUUCUCCUGUUCCAAUUACUCCCAAAUUUUGUUGGCAGAUCAUUCAAAUUUUGUUGAUACAUUGUAAUAUAUGUAGGUUUAGUGGUUGAUUGAUGCUUUUGUUUUUCUGAUUAUUAGUGUUUAGGGUUGAUUUGUUGCUGUUUUUAUUCCAUUAUGGUGAAUUGCAAAAGCAGACGGAACCAGCAUCUGCUCCCUUGAGUGGUGGUGGUGGUGGUGGUCUUCUUGUUUCGACCAUUAGUUCAGUUGGUCAGCUUCCCAGAUAUUAAUUGCUAUUCCGCGUAGUCGCUGUCGAGAAGGAGAACAAAACAGAGAGAGAUGCGAAGGAGGAUGAUGGAGGCCACCACUGCAGGUCUCAUUUACAGAAAUUAAAAAAGAUGGAUCCUAUAUAUGUUGAGACGGUGCUACUGCUGAUGAGAAAUCUGUCUAUCAAUUUAAGGAGCCCAGAUUUUGAGGAUCAUGUAAGUAUUUGUAUCAUUGAUCUUUAUAUUGGUAUAACUAAAUAUGUGAUGAUGAGCAAAAUAUUUCCUACUUGAGGCUCACCCCACUGUUAUAUUUCGGCAUCUAAGUGCUUGAUCUUUAUAAUGAAUCUAUUUCCUGAGGAUACAUAGCUUGAAGUGGUAUGCUGAUAUUCCUCAUUUAUUUGAAACUGUCUAUGUCGUGCCACAUUGCUACAAAAGUAUCACAUACAUAUUGAAACAAAUUUUGUUUCUUAAACCAGUGUGUUUUGAUUAGUGGUCUUUUCAGGUGUGGUACUUAUUAGAAGUUUCUCCAUGAGAAAGGAGCUGUAUGAGCAUGAUGGAGUUUGUAAUUUGUAGUUUGUAUUUUGGAGAUUUAUAAUUUUUUGUUUUUCUUGUCCUAUGUAUCUAUCUAGUUCAUUAGGGUUCUUCAAUGUAUCUUGUUAGUUUGUACUUUAAAGUUUAUAUGUUGAAGAUUUAUAAAACAAUCUUAGUUAAAUGAAAUAUAU
This is a long non-coding RNA of Arachis stenosperma, 965 nucleotides long. RefSeq lists it as uncharacterized. The record is from RefSeq and is a predicted model, not a curated record. The transcript is spliced from 4 exons. Lineage: Eukaryota; Viridiplantae; Streptophyta; Magnoliopsida; Fabales; Fabaceae.